CCUACGGGUGGCUGCAGUGGGGAAUCUUGCACAAUGGGGGCAACCCUGAUGCAGCGACGCCGCGUGAGUGAUGAAGCCCUUCGGGGUGUAAAGCUCUUUCGGCAGGGACGAUAAUGACGGUACCUGAAGAAGAAGCUGCGGCUAACUACGUGCCAGCAGCCGCGGUAAUACGUAGGCAGCGAGCGUUGUUCGGAGUUACUGGGCGUAAAGCGUGCGUAGGCGGUGUCUUAAGUUUGUUGUGAAAUCUCCCGGCUUAACCGGGAGGGUGCGGCGAA
This 275-nucleotide ribosomal RNA is filed under the name uncultured bacterium. RNAcentral describes it as "partial 16S ribosomal RNA". It matches the Rfam family "Bacterial small subunit ribosomal RNA", at positions 338 to 630 of the family's 1533-position model. The record is from RNAcentral.